GGGAAUUGGCACUGACAUGCGGGA
This 24-nucleotide non-coding RNA is filed under the name Arabidopsis thaliana (thale cress). Lineage: Eukaryota; Viridiplantae; Streptophyta; Magnoliopsida; Brassicales; Brassicaceae. The record is from RNAcentral.